AAACACUACCACAGCCUUGCUUACUGCUAGAAUACGAUAAUGUUCUGUAGCGUCAUGUUAACGCCACGUACUAAUUGCGACCCCAUAACGACAUCGUAAAAAUUAACCAUCUACUAAUCUGUGUGCUAUCGGUCGGUUCAUAUUGCCUUACAGUCAGACGGCUGGCUCCGAAAGGCGAUCCCGCCCUAAGGUUUUCACAAAGGUUACCACGUGUCUCCGAAACGGCCAAUGCUUCUCUCGCGCUUUUCUCUGAGCUCCAAUAUGCUGUUUACCGACCCGUGUCGUCCGGAGCUCUUCACAGCGUAGGACGCUUCUCGUUUGCAUACUGUUCCGUAUUAUCCGUGUGCCGCGACCCGAAUUCCGCAAUCGCGAUCUUUCCAAUUGUAACACACAAAUGAAAAGCACAAAACGAGGUGGGCUCCAGCAGCCCGCACCCCAAUUUGGCUCCGCGGCAGGUACAAAACGUCAAAGAUGUGCCAACAGCAUUCACCGUGCUAAGCGAUGUGUCAGUUCUGACUCUUAUCCGGUCGACCCUUUCUAGUGCCUUUCCUCCUUCCCGUUCGUAAGUCAACCUGAAUAAAUCACGUAUCGACAACCCCUUGCCAGCCAAAACCUUUCGUUAGUAGACAGUAGUCUAUCGGUCUUGUGCUGCACUCGGAGAGGGCGUGGUCGAGUCGGAAGUACUUCUAAAGCCUCUCUCUGAACGAUAACGAAGCGUCGAAUGAUGCGAAAAGAUGAAUGUUCUAAUCCUAUAGUACCUACCCUUGAUUCAUUGACCAGAUGCUCCGCCGGUCGAUUCUGGUGAAAGAAAUUGCGAAAUCUGUGCAAUUGUCAGAGGUAUAAUACUGUAGUGCAAAGUUCGACGACAACGAACUUGCAGUUACUAUUCUGUUUAGGCCAAGCGCUUUCGCUUACGACAGCCAGACGUGGUAAGGCAGUAGGUACAGAAUGGUACACCACGCACACGGUAUCAAAGGAUCACUUCGGUUAGCGGCUGAUCUCCGGGCAAGGUGACGUCAAAUAACCCCCAGAUCACGUGGCAUAACUUCGCUCUACUUCUUUCUAUGAGGCUACCUAAAAGGUGUGCUACGACAAUCCGUCGAUGGCAGACAGGCUUAAGGAGAACACCCGUUCUGCCAUUUCAAAGACAGGACCCGAUUUAUGCGAAAGAACGGCCAAAAACUAGGGUAUUCAGCUCCACUUACUGUCACCGACAAUCUCCGUGAUGACUCGUUUCCAGAAAGCUCUUUCGUGAUUGCUUAGUAAGCUUUGAGGUGAACGGCGAUCUAACUUCGAAACCGCAAGUAGACACACUCUUCAUUUCGUGAACCCUUUCGAGGCAAUGCGUAGCGGCAUAGCCGGACCCAAAACACAGUAGCACAAUCCCGUUAUCAUAAGACUUCUGCAGUACUGGGCGAAAAGCUUUGACAAGUGAUUUUUGCCUUCCUCCAUCAGAUCUAAAUGAAUACCAUCAGGAUGCUCUCUGCAGAAAAUGAAAAGGGAUAGUAACUGGUGCAUCCCGUCUUAUCCACGAGCCCAUAGUAGCAUACUUUUAUAUCGUAGUGAACGAAUUUUAUCUCGAGUCAGGCUUCCAAGCCGGAUGCUCCUGGUAAAAGGAAGUGCCUUUUUUUUCGACAUCUACUCCACAUCGUGUUUCAUCGAUGUCAAGCAGCUGCCGAAGCAGUCCCAAUACAGCAAGAUUACUGUAACUUGUAAAUGAACUUGUUAAGCGUAAAGAUGGAAUUUGAGACCUGCAAGAUGUACUUCGGUCGUCUGAAGUCCUAAUAGACCCCAGAUAACGAAACGACUCGUCAAUUGCCGAGUAGGCCGGAACAGCUUCACCGAUACUGCGUCAUUGUUACAUUCGUCGACAAACAUUACGAUAAAAUCUAAUGUACUUAGGUUCUUUUAUGGAUGCAACGGUAUCGCGACACCUUAGCAUCGCAAGAUUUUAGCUCUAACUAAAUUCCUGCUUUGGAAGCCCUCUGACGUAUCUUAUAGUUCACAAGGCUUAACUGUAUAGUAGCUCAUAAGAGUUUUCGUCGAAUGCUCUGCCAUAACUUUACCUUUAGCGUUUUUUAGAAUAUCUGCUGAUAUGUAAAACUAUCAAUGAAGUUCCUAGAAUUUGUCCUAAAUAGCAUUCGUUGUGGAUUUAAAUAAGCUCAGCUAUAGUAUUUAACUGUCUUGAGUGUGUGUUACGUUACGUUUGCAGUUAGUGCUUAGAUGAAUAGGAUCCGAGAUCAGACCAAACGUGUAACA
Molecule: long non-coding RNA, 2259 nt
Organism: Varroa destructor (honeybee mite)
Lineage: Eukaryota; Metazoa; Arthropoda; Arachnida; Mesostigmata; Varroidae
Source: RefSeq, a predicted model, not a curated record